CUCUUCACAUGGAGAAAGGGUAGUGCCUGCCAACCAAUGCCAAAGUGAUAGACACUCAUUGAAAAAGAAAAAAAAAAACUUGGCUAGUGACUUGUGUCUGGUGAUAGAAGAAGAAAGAAGGCGCAAAACGGAAAAGAGGAAGAAGGAAAAUGCAGAUGAGGAAGAAGAAAAAAAGGAAGUGCAAGGAUACAAAGAGGAAAGCUUUAAGACAAAUAGCUCAAACUCAACAACAAAAGUAAGAUGAAAUCCAAAAUUUCUCUAUGAUGUUUUCUUUUAGAAUGUAUGGAAUUAUUAUGUUGCACAUUAAGGAUAUUUUUAUUGAAUUAUGAAGUAACUAUUCAAUUUAUUUGUUUUUAUUUUUUGGAAAAAAAAUUGUCUAACAGUAUAUGGAGUUAAGAGUAUUUUUGUGGUGUUAAAGUGAUAGAAUGACUUUGUAUAUAUGAAAGUAGAGACUUCAUCUUUACAUAGUCUAAAAUUUUGCUA
This is a long non-coding RNA of Quercus robur (English oak), 483 nucleotides long. RefSeq lists it as uncharacterized. The transcript has 2 exons. The record is from RefSeq and is a predicted model, not a curated record. Lineage: Eukaryota; Viridiplantae; Streptophyta; Magnoliopsida; Fagales; Fagaceae.